CCCGCCCGCCCGCGGCCGGCGCCGCCGCUCCCGCUCCGCUUGGGAGCUCGUCUUUUCCCGUGCCACACCGGGAGCCGCAGCCCCUGUGUUAGGACUUCAGGUGCUCCUGGCACAAAGCUAGACUGCGACCUCCUACCUAGCGUUUGGCGUCACCUGCUCUCCCGGCCCUGCCCCGGGGGGCCGAGGGACUGCGCCCGAACCAGGCUUGUGAACCGGAUGCCUCUCAACAGAUCUCGGAGUAUUUGUCUGUUGGCUUAUUGAUGGAAAAUCCAGCUGUGGGUGAGAGAGCAGCAAGCUUGUGCUCC
This 305-nucleotide long non-coding RNA is filed under the name Heterocephalus glaber (naked mole-rat). Its description in RNAcentral is "lncRNA (ENSHGLG00100045604.1)". Lineage: Eukaryota; Metazoa; Chordata; Mammalia; Rodentia; Bathyergidae. The record is from RNAcentral.